Molecule: non-coding RNA, 3287 nt
Organism: Myodes glareolus (Bank vole)
Lineage: Eukaryota; Metazoa; Chordata; Mammalia; Rodentia; Cricetidae
Source: RefSeq, a predicted model, not a curated record
UCUUCUACCAGCUCUCUCCACCUCAGGCGGCCCCACCACAGUGGGGUGAGAGAGGACUCUUCCCCCAUCACUUAGUCAGCAUCACUGAACUUGAGCCUCCCCCAGGCCUCCCCCACCCUUCCACAGAAUGGUCUACCCAGCUGCUGGCAUGGCCCUGCUUAUCUAUAGGCCCAGCUGUGACUUGAAGUGCCUUUGACUCCCUUAAGCAUCUUGCUGGCUUGACUCACUGGAAGAGACAGCUGCCAGAGUAUCAGGUACCAGAGAUGUUCUGCACAUGAAUUUCCACUCAUUCUGCCUAAUGCCUUGGAAACCAGCGUCAAUCUUCACCUAAGUCCUCAGCUCUCCUAGCUUAAGUGGGAAAGUACAACAAGAAGGCAAAUUUCAUCUGCCUCAUUGCAUACACACUCAUCGAGGAAGCAGAUCAGGUCUGCCCAGCUGGAUGCUAUCGUGUAUGGCCAUGUCUGCCUCCCGGGCUCACCCUUCGCUAACAGAUGGCUACUGAGGCCCAGAGAUGCCGCUGAGAGACAUGACUACAUCCUAAUCUGGAGUGGCCCAGCCACCUGUGGACCACACAGCUGAUGGCGGGCGUCCUGCUUCUACAGAUUGCUGGGGUGGCUGUCGGGCACCCCGUCCCUGGGGCUUGUUUUUGCUUCUGGGAGUUCUGGCUGCUCUGUAGCCAACAGGGAGAGGGAGGACUCUGUUGUUAUGUGACCUUUAUGACCUGCAGUCUUUGGUGAUAGUAACACCUAGCUCUGUGUAGCCAGAAAGCCUCCCAUGCCCCAGGGACCCUAUCUAAAUUAUCUUGUGAAAACAGAGCUCUGAGAGUGGGGAAUGUAAAAUAACAGACUCCCGUUAACAUUUUGCUGUUUUAAUAUGUUCUAUGUGUCUGAAUGGCAAUGUGUGUGUGUGAUCAUGUCUCCUGCCUCUCCUGUCUUUAAACAAGGCUUUUCUCAUUAUGUUAUGCAAGCACAAAAAAAAGGAAAGCAAAGUAAUUUCUGUUGAGAACUGACAAUAUUUUGAUGCACAUCUUUGGUCUUCUUUUUUAAAUUUAUUUUUUAUUUUAUAUACAUUGGUGUUAUGCCAUGGGUGUCAGAUCCCCUGGAACUGGAGUUACAGACAGUUGUGAGCUGCCAUGUGGGUGCUGGCAAUUGAACAUGGGUCCUCUGGAAGAGCAGCCGGUGCUCUUAACCAUUAAGUCAUCUCUCCAGCCUUAUCUUUGGUCUUUUAAUGAGUAUACUACAGCAAAAGUAAAACAGUACACAACUUCAUUUAUACAUAUUUCUCCUAGCUUUCCUCCUUCAUGUGAGCCAGUGUGAGUAAGUUUUAUAUCUAUGAGAGACAGACAGACAGGAAGAAUGAAUGUAUAUGUGUGUGUGUGUGUGUGUUGACAGGGCUCAAACCUCAGGCCCUAUGCAUGCCAGGCGAGCACUCUCCUACUGAACUACAGAUCCAACCUCCCUUUUAUAGGACAGCAGCAUCCACAUGUGCCAUCUCUGAUUUAGCCAGUCUCAUCUCUGUAACCCUUUUGUUUGGUUCUCAUUUCUCUCUGUCCUAAACAGGGCUAAUGGUUGCUGCAUCUUGAUGUUUGUCUUGUUCUGUUGUAAUCCUUCCGAGACCCCCAGGAUGGCUAUCUGUAAAGACUGUACCCGAAACCACAUUUGGAAAUCUCUUGCUGUGUUGGACUGCUACUUUUAUGUCAGCUUGAUAAAGGAUUACAGGUAACAGCAUCCAGAGACUUCUAGCCAUGGGUAGGCUCCCCUUUAGGACUUUGAUCUAGGCCAACGAUUUCUUCAUUCUCCUCGUCUUUCUAAUCUGGAGCCAGCAAGAGAGAUCUGAUCAGGUACCAAAGGCCCAGAGAGAUUGUCCAGGGCCUCUGAUCUCUGCUGCUCAGUCAGCCAAAUCAGAAGACAAGGAAUCCAGAGCAGGAGGCUAGCCCCCCUCCCUGCCACUGCCUGCUCUGCUCCCAGCUCUGCAAUGGGUGUGUCCCACCGACCAGCCCCUCCCUGCUUAUCCUGGUGCACCUGCCACAUCUUGCUUCACACGUGUGUCUCUGGCCCGAGAGCAGACCCCACCCUCUUGCUAAUCAAGCAGCAAGGAUGAGCAAGUUCAUGGGAGAUAACUGUGGCUGGGCUCUCACUAGAGGAGUACCAACCUCCUGGGUUAUUCACUCUGGCGUGUGAGCAUUUGAUGGACAGUCCAGCAGCUCCCUCACUGUGCCCACAAAGGACCCUUUUCAGAGCUUUGGUGGGUUGAGCUGGGUACUGCCAGCCAGAAUUAAGCUGAAAGAUGAAACCUCUGAACCCAGCUGGGCUCCUGUCCCUUCACUGCCCAGAGUCUUAGGGAGAUUUGUCCCCUGGGUUUCAGUGCACCCACCUGCCUCUAGGCAGGUUCUCACCUGGAUCUGGGCAGCCAGGCUGGGUUACCGUACUGUUACUGGUGGCUCUCUUGGUCCUCCAUCCAAGUUGUACACAACAAAAACACACACAAAAAAGCCUCUCACUCGUAACUACUGCUGUUUGGUACCCACAGCAGAAGCUCCCUUCAGCCUGCAGCAACCUACUUACUUUUUAAAGAAUGUUUCAUUUUAUCUCAUGUGUAUGGGUGUUUGCUUGCAUGUAUGUUUAUGUAUCACUUGUGUGCCUAGGUCUGGUACCCACAGAGACUAGAAGAGGGCAUAGGAUUCCCUGGAACUAGAGUUACAGACAGUUGUGUGCUUCCACAUGGGUUCUGAAAAUCAAACCUGGAUCCUCUAGAAGAACAGCUAAUGCGUUUAACCUCUGACCCAUCUUUUCAACCCCCUACUUCAUUAUUUUUAAAGACAGCCUUGAUGUUUAGGAGGAUUGGAAACAGUUGCUAUUUAAAUUUGUCUAAGCAACUCAGGCCCUACACUUUGAGGGUGCUCAGAUACUAUUUGUUAAAUGAAUAAACCUCUCUUGGGCAUUGCCUAAAAUGGCUACUUCAUUCUGGAUAGUGCUCACAAACUUCGGUGACCAGUAACACACAUACAGAAUGGGCUGCAGACUUCUCUGCUCAGAAGCCUGUUUUGGUGGGUGCACUGAGGAGACUUCGAUUUCCACAGACCUGGUUUGUGCCCCAGAUUUACAGAAGGGACUAGAAGGCAAGGCCAGGUCUGAGUUCACCAAGAGAAAUGAGAAUCUAGAAUGUGAUGACCAUGGUGUUGAUGACUCUUUGACAGGGUCUUUCUAUAUAACCUAGGGUGACUGUGAACUCCCACCUUUCUUGUCUUAAUCUAAUAUGAUGUGAUAUUUGGUGAUAAAAUACAUAAA